UGCUUAACACAUGCAAGUCGAACGGAAAGGCCUGCUUUCCCUUGUGGAUUGCGGGUGCUCGAGUGGCGAACGGGUGAGUAACACGUGAGUGAUCUGCCCCCAACUUGGGUAUAAGCCUGGGAAACUGGGUCUAAUUCCCGAUAGGACUGCAGGGUGGUGCCUGUGGUGGAAAACGAUUUUCUAGUGGUUGGGGAUGAGCUCGCGGCCUAUCAGCUUGUUGGUGGGGUAAUGGCCUACCAAGGCGGCGACGGGUAGCCGGCCUGAGAGGGUGGACGGCCACAUUGGGACUGAGAUACGGCCCAGACUCCUACGGGAGGCAGCAGUGGGGAAUAUUGCACAAUGGGCGGAAGCCUGAUGCAGCGACGCCGCGUGGGGGAUGACGGCCUUCGGGUUGUAAACUCCUUUCGACCGCGAGGAAGCCGCCUGGUUGGAAGGGUGGUGACGGUAGUGGUAGAAGAAGCACCGGCUAACUACGUGCCAGCAGCCGCGGUAAUACGUAGGGUGCGAGCGUUGUCCGGAUUUACUGGGCGUAAAGAGCUCGUAGGUGGCUUGUCGCGUCGUCUGUGAAAGUCUGGGGCUUAAC
Molecule: ribosomal RNA, 583 nt
Filed under: Corynebacterium otitidis
Lineage: Bacteria; Bacillati; Actinomycetota; Actinomycetes; Mycobacteriales; Corynebacteriaceae
Description: bacterial SSU rRNA
Rfam family: Bacterial small subunit ribosomal RNA
Source: RNAcentral